Long non-coding RNA from Corvus hawaiiensis (hawaiian crow), 1248 nucleotides. RefSeq lists it as uncharacterized. NCBI's taxonomy places the organism in Eukaryota, Metazoa, Chordata, Aves, Passeriformes, Corvidae. The record is from RefSeq and is a predicted model, not a curated record. The transcript is spliced from 3 exons.
CUGCUCUGGGCUGCGAAAUUUGAGAUCGAGCAUCUAAUGGGACAACCUGAAAAUGCAUCCAUAUUAAAUUUUGAGCACAUCUAUACCACAUCAACAGGAAUUUUCUCUGUGUUGCUUUCCUGUUCAUCACGCUUAAGAGUCAUCGCUUCAGCUUUGAUGCUUUAGUGUUUGGAUGAAGUAACUGGAUGAAACAGUGGUUCUGGCUGAUCAGGAAUCCUUUGUUGUGGGUCACUCAACAGGAAGAAGAGUUUGUUCAGUCCACAGGCUGUGCAUGAGGAACUGUGAAUGCCUACACAAAAAAGAUGGGAGACACUGGUAUUUUUAGCUUUCCUGUCAAUGCUUUUCAGAAUAAAUCAAGAAGAGGAAACACAGCAAGCAAAGUCCUCUUGGACAAUCCUUUGGGCAAGGGAACUCAUAUAAACUAGGGUAAAAAAUUACAGUUGACAUCUUGACAAUUUGUGGAAGUAAUUAAAGCAAAAAAAGCACAUCCAUUAAGAAGUCACAAGCUAGAUCAAAUGAACUAAGAGCACAUUACAAAGUGCUGUGGGAAAUUGUGAGCCACUUCUCCAGAAUAAUUUGCUGCUCUGUUCCUUGUACCUUUCUCAGUAAUGCUUUCCUGGGUAGGAAGCAUUAAUUGGGUUAUAGGUGUACACACACCCCUCAGUGGAUGUUUCCCUACAAGAUAAGCUUUGUGAGGUUCUUAUAAAAACAAUUUUGUGUUUCUGUCCAUGCUCUGGUUAUCUCUAAGUUUCCAGCCAUUACUGUCUUGUUUUUUCAGUCUUACUCUGUCCAGUUACCAAGAUCCUAAUGCUGCAGUAACAUUCAGACCCUUUUAGGGCUGUGGUGACUGGCCUGGUAGAGUCACAUGAAGAAACAAAUCCUUUUUUUGUUAACAGGAGCAGAACUGAAAGCACACACUGCCCAGCCUCAGUGCAGCACCUUCCUAACGAUGGAACUGCUCUCAAACAGACUGCAAUAACUGACAGAAAAGGCUUUAUCUUCUCUUUCACGAGAACCUUUAAACUUCCCUUUCAAUAAAAGCUUAUUUGCCAAUUGGUUUGACCCCCCCAAUUCACUUGUUCAUUAGAGGAAUUCAUCAUUUUUCCCCAAUCUGAUGGUUAAAAGGUAUUGGUAACUCUCACCUGGGAGUGUGAAUGAGGUUUGGUUUUUAUUCCAGGCACCAUGCUGUUACAUUUAUUGUGAAAUCCCCACAAUACCAUUAAUAAAGACUUUUUUAAACCUCAUAAA